GUGGGGAAUAUUGGACAAUGGGCGCAAGCCUGAUCCAGCCAUGCCGCGUGAGUGACGAAGGUCUUCGGGUUGUAAAGCUCUUUUGGCGGGGACGAUAAUGACGGUACCCGCAGAAUAAGCCCCGGCUAACUUCGUGCCAGCAGCCGCGGUAAUACGAAGGGGGCUAGCGGUUGUUCGGAAUUACUGGGCGUAAAGCGCACGUAGGCGGAUUUGCAAGUCAGGGGUGAAAUCCCGGGGCUCAACCUCGGAACUGCCUUUGAUACUGCCGAUCCUCGAGUCCGGAAGAGGUGAGUUGGAAUUCCUAGUGUAGAGGUGAAAUUCGUAGAUAUUAGGAAGAACACCAGUGGCGAGCCGGCUCAUUGUCCGGUACUUAAGC
RNAcentral lists this ribosomal RNA (376 nucleotides) under Hyphomicrobium sp. RNAcentral's name for it is "bacterial SSU rRNA". It matches the Rfam family "Bacterial small subunit ribosomal RNA", at positions 354 to 746 of the family's 1533-position model. The record is from RNAcentral. Lineage: Bacteria; Pseudomonadati; Pseudomonadota; Alphaproteobacteria; Hyphomicrobiales; Hyphomicrobiaceae.